RNAcentral lists this non-coding RNA (1366 nucleotides) under Synarthrophyton chejuense. RNAcentral describes it as "SSU rRNA". It matches the Rfam family "Bacterial small subunit ribosomal RNA". The record is from RNAcentral. Lineage: Eukaryota; Rhodophyta; Florideophyceae; Hapalidiales; Hapalidiaceae.
AUAUGUAUAUAAUAAAAAAGAGUUUGAUCCUGGCUCAGAAUGAACGCUUAUAAUUAGCUUAACACAUGCAAGUUUAAUUUUAUUUAUAAAUUAAUAAAAUUAUAGCGAACGGGUGAGUAUUACAUAGAAAUUUUACCUUUAAGUUUUGUUUAAUUUAACUUUUUAGAUAAGUCUAUGCAAGAUUAAGUAUUUAGUAAUAAAAUUCUAUUAAGCUUACAAUCUUUAGUUGGUCUUUGAGGAUGAACAACCACACUGGAAUUGAGAUAUGGUCCAGACUCUAUUAUAGAGGCAGCAGUGAGGAAUAUUGGGCAAUGAGCGUAAGCUUGACCCAGCUAAGUUACGUAUGUUACUAAGGUAAGUAACUGUAAUACAUUUUAUUUGAUAAGAAAUUAUGAUUUAUUUUCAUAAAAAAGUCCUGGCUAACUUCGUGCCAGCAGCCGCGGUAAUACGAGAAGGGCGAGCGUUAUUCGGAUUAACUGGGUGUAAAGCAUACGUAGAUUGAAAAUUAAUUAAUAAUAAAAAAUUUAAAAUAAACUUUAAAAACCUAACUAAAAAAAUUUUCUUGAGUUUAUCUGAAGAUUACAGAACUUUAAAUGUAACGGUAAAAUGUUUUGAUAUUUAAAAGAAUUUCUAAAGCGUAGGCAGUAAUCUAAGUUAAAACUGACAUUAAGGUAUAAAAGCGUGGGUAGCGAAGGGGAUUAGAUACCCCCGUAGUCCACGCCUUCAACGAUGAGUGUUCACUUUUAUUUUUAAUUUUAGAAGUUUAGUUAACACGUUAAACACUCCACCAGGGAAGUACGGUCGCAAGAUUAAAACUCAAAUGAAUUGACGGGGGCCCGCACAAGCGGUGGAGCAUGUGGUUUAAUUCGACGAUACGCGCGAAACCUUACCAAUUUUUGUAUACAUAGUACAGGUGCUGCAUGGCUGUCGUCAGUCCGUGCUUUGAAGCGUUUGAUUAAUUUCAACAAACGGACGAAACUCUUAUGUAUUAAUUACAAACCGGCAAAGAUAUUUUGCAGGAAGGAAAGAAUAACGUCAAGUCCUUAUGACCCUAAUAAGUUGGGCUACUUUCAUGUGCUACAAUGUUUAAUUCAAAAAGUAAUUAAAAUGUAAAUUUAAAUAAUUCUUAAAAAUUAAACUUGUUCUUAUUAUUUUCUGCAACUCGAAAAUAUAAAGCUGGAAUUGCAAGUAAUCGUAAAUAAGAAUGUUACGGUGAAAUUGUUCUUAGGUCUUGUACACACCGCCCGUCACGCUAUGGAAACUAUGAUCAUUUGAAAAUUAAGUUAUUAAUUUAUAAUGCAAUAGCAACUAAAGUGAAGUCGUAACAAGGUAGCCCUAGGGGAACCUGGGGCUGGAAAAUAAAACU